Molecule: ribosomal RNA, 1427 nt
Filed under: uncultured bacterium
Lineage: Bacteria
Description: partial 16S ribosomal RNA
Rfam family: Bacterial small subunit ribosomal RNA
Source: RNAcentral
AACGAACGCUUGCGGCGCGCCUAAUACAUGCAAGUCGAGCGAGAAAGUACUUCGGUAUGAGUACAGCGGCGGACGGGUGAGGAACACGUAGAUAAUCUGCCUUAAAGAGGGGGAUAACUAAUCGAAAGAUUAGCUAAUACCGCAUAAGACCACAGGGGCUUCGGCUCUAGGGGUUAAAGGAGCAAUCCACUUUAAGAUGAGUCUGCGUCCGAUUAGCUAGUUGGUAGGGUAAUGGCCUACCAAGGCAACGAUCGGUAACUGGUCUGAGAGGAUGACCAGUCACACUGGAACUGAGACACGGUCCAGACUCCUACGGGAGGCAGCAGUAGGGAAUAUUGCACAAUGGAGGAAACUCUGAUGCAGCGACGCCGCGUGAGUGAUGAAGGCCUUCGGGUUGUAAAACUCUGUGAUAAGGGAAGAUGAUGACGGUACCUUAUCAGAAAAGACCGGCUAACUUCGUGCCAGCAGCCGCGGUAAUACGAGGGGUCUAAGCGUUGUUCGGAAUCACUGGGCGUAAAGCGGGUGUAGGUGGCUCAGCAAGUUAGAUGUGAAAGCCCCGGGCUCAACCCGGGAAGUGCAUCUAAAACUACUGAGCUUGAGUACGGGAGAGGGAAGCAGAAUUCCUGGUGUAGUGGUGAAAUACGUAGAUAUCAGGAGGAACACCGGUGGCGAAGGCGGCUUCCUGGCCCAGUACUGACACUCAGACCCGAAAGCGUGGGUAGCAAACAGGAUUAGAUACCCCUGUAGUCCUAGCUGUAAACGAUGGACACUAGGUGUUGCGCGUAUCGACCCGUGCAGUGCCGUAGCUAACGCGUUAAGUGUCCCGCCUGGGGAGUACGCACGCAAGUGUGAAACUCAAAGGAAUUGACGGGGGCCCGCACAAGCGGUGGAGUAUGUGGUUUAAUUCGAUGCAACGCGAAGAACCUUACCAGGGUUUGACAUCCCUCGAAUCUCGGCGAAAGUUGAGAGUGCCUUCGGGAGCGAGGAGACAGGUGGUGCAUGGCUGUCGUCAGCUCGUGUCGUGAGAUGUUGGGUUAAGUCCCGCAACGAGCGCAACCCACGUUUCCGGUUGCCAGCAUUAAGUUGGGGACUCUGGAGAGACUGCCGGUGACAAACCGGAGGAAGGUGUGGACGACGUCAAGUCAUCAUGCCCCUUACAUCCUGGGCUACACACGUACUACAAUGGUUAGGACAAAGGGCAGCGAAGCCGCGAGGUGGAGCAAAACUCAUAAACCUAGCCUCAGUUCAGAUUGCAGGCUGCAACUCGCCUGCAUGAAGGAGGAAUCGCUAGUAAUCGCAGGUCAGCAUACUGCGGUGAAUACGUUCCCGGGCCUUGUACACACCGCCCGUCACACCAUGGGAGUUGGCCACGCCCGAAGUCGUUACCCUAACCGUUCGCGGAGGGGGACGCCGAAGGUGGGGCUGAU